CAGGGGGUGGGGUUUACCCGGUCCCCAAACGCCGCCUCUUGCAGAGGAACGAGUCCCUCUCUGCGUUCGACCUGGCAGCGCCAUUCCCCCGCUGCGCUGGGGGGCUUGCUGGAUCUUCUCCCCUCCAGUUCGGGGAUCCCCAAGCAGCCACCAGGCGAACCCCGGUCCCUAGGAUCCGGCGAGGUACCGGACAGGCGCCCGAAAAGCACCCGGAGCGCGCCUCCUGGGCGGCAAGGGGAGGGAAAAAGGAGGAGCUGCUCGCCAGGCUUGAGUCCUCGCUCCUGGGCACCGUGUGAUAUCACCACCCCUCUCCCGGGACCCUCUCAGAAUUCCAGAGGCCGGCACAAUGCUUCCUGAGAUUCUGCGGGUAACCUGCAGUGGGCUGGUAAGGUUAUCGAGCAGGGUAAAGAGAGACACAGCAAGAGGGGGAACACAACAAGGGGAGUGGAAGAGGGAGAAGCAGGCCUCCCGUGGAGCAGGGAGCCCGAUACGGGGCUCCAUCCCAGGACCCUGGGAUCGUGACCUGAGCCGAAGGCAGACGCUUAACGACUGAGCCACCCAGGCGCCCCUGCACUGAAGAUUUAUGACUAAUAUGUGUAAAGCUUCCUCCCCACUCUCACCCCCACCUAAAGUUCUUUUGUUCUGGGAUCCUGCUGGCUCAUCCCUAAUUUUAGGAAGAGGUUUUUCCCUUUGAUGUUUUGCCUGGGCUCAGCCCCUCCUCUACUCCCGCUCCCUACGGGGUCAAGUGGUUUUAGCCAUAAGGAGACCAAGUACAACUCUGUCCUCUGUCCCAGGGCUAGUGACGAAAAUCCUGAACUCCUAGUGUCACUUGAUGGAGUGAGUGGUCAUUCUGUAGAAGUUAGAUUGUAAGUUGCAUCCUCCUCCCGUGUUUUUCAGCCCACAAUAUAAACAAGCGACGCCAGGUUGGGCCCCAAGAAUGUUUUUACAAUUGGAAUUUUUCUCCUUUGGCAGAAGUAUGAAAGCAACAAGAAUAAAAUCUAGGUGGAGUAAGGAUUGGGGCAGCCACAUAGGGUUAUUAACAUUGGGCACCACAUGUGUACUCAUCCAAAGGGACACCAUUCACAUCAGACAUCUUUAUUAUUCUGAAAAUUUUGUGCGUUUAUUAAUAUUGCUUAUUGCCAAGAUGGGUGACUUGUAUGUUUAUUACAACUUCCCGACAGAUGGCAGUAAAGUGUCUGUUUUAAGAGGAUUAAUGUAUUUUGUUCUGCUUCCGUGCACAAAGGAAAAAUGAGUCAGUAAUCAGAACCAACAACAGAUCUAAUGUUAUCUGAAAAUAUUUCUGCUUCUAAACAAGAAAAUGCCUUUCUAAUUGAUAUGCUGAUAGGCAAGUAUUUAAAAACAAAUCCCAUUGUUAUUAGUACACCAGCUAAUUUAAUGUUUCACAUUGCAUCACAUCAUCUGCUGUUUAUUUGCUGUACUCAAAAGGUAUUGCUGAGUUCCCAAUGUAAAUCUACAAGGACUUUGAUUACUAUAUGAAUCACCAUCAAACUACAAAAUAAAUUAUAUGCACAUAAAUUAGAGAUUACUAUUUAACGAUCUAGUAAUUAUAUAAUAGCAAUUGCUUAUUGUUAUAGAUAUUCUGUUAGUAAGAAUAUUAACACUUGACAGUAUUUAGCAGCUUGUUACUUGUGUAUUUUGUAUGUUACGUACAUGUAAGUUCUAAAAUAGAAUACUCAUUAUUGAUUUUUUUCUCAGACACUAUGGAAGAGUUUUAAAAAUUAGUUUCAGAAUCAGAAAACAGAAGAAAAUGACAAACAAUAAUUUAGAUCACUGGAUACAUUUUUGGAAAAGAUGGUUGGGGGUGGGGGCAAAGCCUGUUGGAUUAGGAUGUGAAUUUACCAUCAAUAUUUAUGCCAAGCAUAAAUGGUUAAUUUUGAGGAAAAGUGGAAGGGAAAAAGAAAACAUUAGACUGGAUAUUGCCUAUCCAGGUAACUGGCUACAUAAUUUGAAUAUUUUAACAAUUUGAGUAUUAACAACAAUCUGGUUGAAAUUUGUCUGUCUUAUGUAAGAAACUUAAUUUUUCAUUUAAAUUUAU
Molecule: long non-coding RNA, 2056 nt
Organism: Mirounga angustirostris (Northern elephant seal)
Lineage: Eukaryota; Metazoa; Chordata; Mammalia; Carnivora; Phocidae
Exons: 3
Source: RefSeq, a predicted model, not a curated record